This 369-nucleotide ribosomal RNA is filed under the name Triticum aestivum (bread wheat). Its description in RNAcentral is "partial small subunit ribosomal RNA". Lineage: Eukaryota; Viridiplantae; Streptophyta; Magnoliopsida; Poales; Poaceae. The record is from RNAcentral.
AUGAAUGGUGGGGUUCGAGAGGACGGAAAGAAGAAACUUCACUGGAGGUCUUGGGCAUGGCUUUCAACCCCAAAGUCACUUGGUGGUAUGGGUUUCCGGGAUAUGUCGCUGUUUAAUCAAGCGAUGCUCGGUAAGCAGGGCUGGAGACUUCUAACUGAACCUGAUUCUUUAUGCGCCCGUGUCUUGAAAGGAAGGUAUUUUCCGACUGGGAACUUUUGGAGUGCCUCAGCACCUCGGACGGCAUCGGUGACUUGGCGUGCUAUCCUUCAUGGUCGAGAGCUUUUGAAACAAGGGGUACGGUGGGCUGUUGGUAAUGGAAGAAGCAUUCAUUUUUUUCUGAUCAUUAGAUACCGUCUACUCCACCGAUAA